AUUGAACGCUGGCGGCAUGCCUUACACAUGCAAGUCGAACGGUAGAGUAGCAAUACUCGAGAGUGGCGAACGGGUGAGUAACAUAUCGGAACGUGCCCAAUCGUGGGGGAUAACGUAGAGAAAUUUACGCUAAUACCGCAUACGAUCUAAGGAUGAAAGCGGGGGAUCGCAAGACCUCGCGCGAUUGGAGCGGCUGAUAUCAGAUUAGGUUGUUGGUGAGGUAAAAGCUCACCAAGCCGACGAUCUGUAGCUGGUUUGAGAGAACGACCAGCCACACUGGGACUGAGACACGGCCCAGACUCCUACGGGAGGCAGCAGUGGGGAAUUUUGGACAAUGGGCGAAAGCCUGAUCCAGCAAUGCCGCGUGCAGGAAGAAGG
RNAcentral lists this ribosomal RNA (378 nucleotides) under uncultured bacterium. RNAcentral describes it as "bacterial SSU rRNA". It matches the Rfam family "Bacterial small subunit ribosomal RNA", at positions 30 to 414 of the family's 1533-position model. The record is from RNAcentral.